This 448-nucleotide small RNA is filed under the name Vibrio aestuarianus. Its description in RNAcentral is "cspA". It matches the Rfam family "cspA thermoregulator". The record is from RNAcentral. Lineage: Bacteria; Pseudomonadati; Pseudomonadota; Gammaproteobacteria; Vibrionales; Vibrionaceae.
CUCGCUCUGUUGUUCAGGGUUAUUAAUGAAACAAAAAGUAAAAGUAAAUUCUCAGAAUCCCAUCGUAAAAGUUGUUGUCCUCAGUGUUUCCCUUACCUUAUUAGUAACAUUAAAUAAUUCAAUCUUUCAGUGCAUUGUGCAUAAGCACGAUAACUCUAUGAAUUUAAAUAAAAGGGACACAUUAUGUCUAACAAAACAACUGGUUCUGUAAAAUGGUUUAACGAAACUAAAGGUUUCGGUUUUCUUACUCAAGACAACGGCGGCGCUGACGUGUUCGUACACUUCAAUGCAAUCGCUUCUGACGGUUUCAAAACUCUAAUUGAAGGCCAAAAAGUGUCUUUCAAUGUAGAAAACGGCCAAAAAGGCCUACAAGCGGCUCAAGUAACCGUAUUGUAAUUCUGUCCAAUAUACAGAAUAUAGAAAAGGUCGCCUAGGCGACCUUUUUGCU